Long non-coding RNA from Mastomys coucha (southern multimammate mouse), 916 nucleotides. RefSeq lists it as uncharacterized. The transcript has 2 exons. The record is from RefSeq and is a predicted model, not a curated record. Lineage: Eukaryota; Metazoa; Chordata; Mammalia; Rodentia; Muridae.
ACUCCCCAGUCCCAGACCAGCUCAGAGGCCAUUGGAGGCCAGCCACGAAACCCCUGAGGCUCCUUCGGUGCCGAUCCGACCCGAGCUGGCUCGUCCUGUCCAGGCUUCCCCGCCCAAACCCGGGUCCCAGUUCUCUGCGGAGCUCAUGGUUCACGGAACAGUGGCCGUCAGCCGCUUGGACCACCGCUGCGGCGACACCGUGUGGUCCCCAACGCGGGCUCUAGUGAGAAGAGCUCUCGGCCGCACUGCGGUUUUGCACCAAGGGAGACGGAAUGAGCCCGCGACAAAAACGCAAAAAGGAGUCUCUGGGGCUGGAUACGGAGACCCGGCACGCUCGGGAACCGGCACGCUCGGGAACCAGCACGCUCCGGGACCAUGGGUGACUGGCAGCCUGCCACUCCACAAACGCCGACGCCACUUCGGAGGUUAACUUCCAAGGAGUGACUUGCGACGACGCCAGGCAGAGAGCGAAGUGAGUAGUCAAAGAAAACUUACCCUGGACAAACCGGCUGCUGGCACCUCAGCUGCCGGGGUGGGAAGCGCCCUCUGCGGGAAUGAAGUCAUCCUACCCUUUUCUGGGUGCGCCCAGAUAACCGACCAGAGCUUUCCUUUCCCAAGCUCUGGGGCCCCGAGGUCUUCUAGCUACUACACCAGGUCCUCAGGUCCUGGGCUCCGACAUAAUUCUUCGCCUCCUUCUGCGAGCCUUGCAUAGGAAAAGAGAAGUACUAGUCCAAACCAGCCCAGUAUCCAGGACCCCAAACUGCGGCAGCCUAUUUCUUGGCUUUCUUGAUGGUACUUUGUCCAUUAAUGUAGUACACGAUUUAACACAACCCACAAACACUGAAAACAUCAAGGCUGGUCUCACGCUGAGAACACACAUUAGUUCAAAUGAAUAUUGAUUGGUACCCAGGUAAAA